RNAcentral lists this ribosomal RNA (378 nucleotides) under uncultured bacterium. Its description in RNAcentral is "bacterial SSU rRNA". It matches the Rfam family "Bacterial small subunit ribosomal RNA", at positions 521 to 896 of the family's 1533-position model. The record is from RNAcentral.
UAAUACGUAGGGUGCAAGCGUUGUCCGGAAUUAUUGGGCGUAAAGAGCUCGUAGGCGGUCUGUCGCGUCGGCUGUGAAAACUCGGGGCUCAACUCCGAGCUUGCAGUCGAUACGGGCAGGCUAGAGUUCGGCAGGGGAGACUGGAAUUCCUGGUGUAGCGGUGAAAUGCGCAGAUAUCAGGAGGAACACCGGUGGCGAAGGCGGGUCUCUGGGCCGAUACUGACGCUGAGGAGCGAAAGCGUGGGGAGCGAACAGGAUUAGAUACCCUGGUAGUCCACGCCGUAAACGUUGGGCGCUAGGUGUGGGAUCCCUUCCACGGGUUCCGUGCCGCAGCUAACGCAUUAAGCGCCCCGCCUGGGGAGUACGGCCGCAAGGCUA